UUUAUUGGAGAGUUUGAUCCUGGCUCAGGAUGAACGCUGGCGGCGUGCCUAAUACAUGCAAGUCGAGCGAAUGGAUUAAGAGCUUGCUCUUAUGAAGUUAGCGGCGGACGGGUGAGUAACACGUGGGUAACCUACCCAUAAGACUGGGAUAACUCCGGGAAACCGGGGCUAAUACCGGAUAAUAUUUUGAACUGCAUAGUUCAAAAUUGAAAGGCGGCUUCGGC
RNAcentral lists this ribosomal RNA (224 nucleotides) under Bacillus mycoides. RNAcentral describes it as "partial 16S ribosomal RNA". It matches the Rfam family "Bacterial small subunit ribosomal RNA", at positions 1 to 218 of the family's 1533-position model. Lineage: Bacteria; Bacillati; Bacillota; Bacilli; Caryophanales; Bacillaceae. The record is from RNAcentral.